RNAcentral lists this ribosomal RNA (253 nucleotides) under uncultured bacterium. Its description in RNAcentral is "partial 16S ribosomal RNA". It matches the Rfam family "Bacterial small subunit ribosomal RNA", at positions 524 to 776 of the family's 1533-position model. The record is from RNAcentral.
UACAGAGGGUGCAAGCGUUAAUCGGAUUUACUGGGCGUAAAGGGCUCGUAGGCGGCCAACUAAGUCGGAUGUGAAAUCCCCAGGCUCAACCUGGGAACUGCAUCCGAUACUGGAUGGCUUGAAUUCGGGAGAGGGAUGCAGAAUUCCAGGUGUAGCGGUGAAAUGCGUAGAUAUCAGGAGGAAUACCGAUGGCGAAGGCAGGUCUCUGGGCUAUAACUGACGCUCAUGCACGAAAGCGUGGGGAGCAAACAGG